CGGGGKGCCUAAUACAUGCAAGUCGAGCGGAUCUUCAUUAGCUUGCUUUUGAAGAUCAGCGGCGGACGGGUGAGUAACACGUGGGCAACCUGCCUGUAAGACUGGGAUAACUUCGGGAAACCGGAGCUAAUACCGGUAAUCCUUUCCCUCACAUGAGGGAAAGCUGAAAGACGGUUUCGGCUGUWACUUACAGAUGGGCCCGCGGCGCAUUAGCUAGUUGGUGAGGUAACGGCUCACCAAGGCAACGAUGCGUAGCCGACCUGAGAGGGUGAUCGGCCACACUGGGACUGAGACACGGCCCAGACUCUACGGGAGGCAGCAGUAGGGAAUCUUCCGCAAUGGACGAAAGUCUGACGGAGCAACGCCGCGUGAACGAUGAAGGCUUUCGGGUCGUAAAGUUCUGUUGUCAGGGAAGAACAAGUAUCGGAGUAACUGCCGUACCUUGACGGUACCUGACCAGAAAGCCACGGCUAACUACGUGCCAGCAGCCGCGGUAAUACGUAGGUGGCAAGCGUUGUCCGGAAUUAUUGGGCGUAAAGCGCGCGCAGGCGGUUCCUUAAGUCUGAUGUGAAAGCCCCCGGCUCAACCGGGGAGGGUCAUUGGAAACUGGGAACUUGAGUGCAGAAGAGGAGAGCGGAAUUCCACGUGUAGCGGUGAAAUGCGUAGAGAUGUGGAGGAACACCAGUGGCGAAGGCGGCUCUCUGGUCUGUMACUGACGCUGAGGCGCGAAAGCGUGGGGAGCGAACAGGAUUAGAUACCCUGGUAGUCCACGCCGUAAACGAUGAGUGCUAAGUGUUAGAGGUUUCCGCCCUUUAGUWUGCAGCAAACGCAUUAAGCACUCCGCC
RNAcentral lists this ribosomal RNA (845 nucleotides) under Bacillus sp. J105. Its description in RNAcentral is "bacterial SSU rRNA". It matches the Rfam family "Bacterial small subunit ribosomal RNA", at positions 40 to 873 of the family's 1533-position model. The record is from RNAcentral. Lineage: Bacteria; Bacillati; Bacillota; Bacilli; Caryophanales; Bacillaceae.